This 253-nucleotide ribosomal RNA is filed under the name uncultured bacterium. RNAcentral describes it as "partial 16S ribosomal RNA". It matches the Rfam family "Bacterial small subunit ribosomal RNA", at positions 524 to 776 of the family's 1533-position model. The record is from RNAcentral.
UACGAAGGGGGCUAGCGUUGCUCGGAAUUACUGGGCGUAAAGGGCGCGUAGGCGGCGUGGUAAGUCACUUGUGAAAUCUCUGAGCUUAACUCAGAACGGCCAAGUGAUACUGCUGUGCUAGAGUGCAGAAGGGGCAAUCGGAAUUCUUGGUGUAGCGGUGAAAUGCGUAGAUAUCAAGAGGAACACCUGAGGUGAAGACGGGUUGCUGGGCUGACACUGACGCUGAGGCGCGAAAGCUGGGGGAGCAAACGGG